AGUGAACGCUGGCGGUAGGCCUAACACAUGCAAGUCGAACGGCAGCACAGUAAGAGCUUGCUCUUACGGGUGGCGAGUGGCGGACGGGUGAGGAAUACAUCGGAAUCUACUUUUUCGUGGGGGAUAACGUAGGGAAACUUACGCUAAUACCGCAUACGACCUACGGGUGAAAGCAGGGGAUCUUCGGACCUUGCGCGAUUGAAUGAGCCGAUGUCGGAUUAGCUAGUUGGCGGGGUAAAGGCCCACCAAGGCGACGAUCCGUAGCUGGUCUGAGAGGAUGAUCGGCCACACUGGAACUGAGACACGGUCCAGACUCCUACGGGAGGCAGCAGUGGGGAAUAUUGGACAAUGGGCGCAAGCCUGAUCCAGCCAUACCGCGUGAGUGAAGAAGGCCUUCGGGUUGUAAAGCCCUUUUGUUGGGAAAGAAAAGCAGCAGGUGAAUACCCCGCUGUUCUGACGGUACCCAAAGAAUAAGCACCGGCUAACUUCGUG
RNAcentral lists this ribosomal RNA (492 nucleotides) under uncultured bacterium. RNAcentral's name for it is "partial 16S ribosomal RNA". It matches the Rfam family "Bacterial small subunit ribosomal RNA", at positions 29 to 507 of the family's 1533-position model. The record is from RNAcentral.